CCCAGAGGAAACUUCCAGACAUUCUACAGGACACAGAGAGAAGUGGCUGAGAGACUCUAGGCCUGUGGGCUGAAGACAGAUGCCCCAACUUUACAGAGGAACUUUGGAUGAAUGUCCAGGCUGCUAGCUGUCUCUGUCUACUCUUGCAAGACUCCUGAAAGUUGCUUGUGUCCUUCUUCCAUUUCUCAGCCUGGAGAUAGUAAAGGCUCAUGUCACUGCUAAGUACCUGAGGAUCGAAUUCUUGACAGAAGAUGUUCCUGAGAUCAUCAGUUUUUCCACCAAACUAAAGGCAUAAACAGUGGUGAAUUAUAUAAAAUCCAGAGGGAGAAAAGUUCUGCAUGAUUAAGAAGAAUAUUUGAAAGAGAAACGAGACUUAGGUGGCAGAUCUACAGUUUAACAUUAGAGCCCUGGAUCCAGCAAAUGGAAGGACUGAAGACAGAAUUUGCAGGUAUCUGGGAAGAGUGGCUGUCUAGCAUCCUUGAUGCUUCUUAGUAACCUUCCUGCUGUUAUGUUUGGAUCUCACUGGGUUCAGUGGGGGCCGUUAUCUAAGAAG
Molecule: long non-coding RNA, 553 nt
Organism: Peromyscus eremicus (cactus mouse)
Lineage: Eukaryota; Metazoa; Chordata; Mammalia; Rodentia; Cricetidae
Exons: 3
Source: RefSeq, a predicted model, not a curated record